Molecule: ribosomal RNA, 373 nt
Filed under: uncultured bacterium
Lineage: Bacteria
Description: bacterial SSU rRNA
Rfam family: Bacterial small subunit ribosomal RNA
Source: RNAcentral
UAAUACGAAGGACCCGAGCGUUAUCCGGAUUUAUUGGGUUUAAAGGGUGCGUAGGCGGAUUUUCAAGUCAGUGGUGAAAUCUCCCAGCUUAACUGGGAAACUGCCAUUGAAACUGUUUAUCUUGAGUACAUUUGAGGCGGGCGGAAUGUGUCAUGUAGAGGUGAAAUUCUUAGAUAUGACACAGAACACCAAUUGCGAAGGCAGCUCGCUAAACUGUAACUGACGCUGAGGCACGAAAGCGUGGGUAGCAAACAGGAUUAGAUACCCUGGUAGUCCACGCCCUAAACUAUGAUAACUCGAUGUGUGCGAUACACUGUACGCGUCUAAGCGAAAGCAUUAAGUUAUCCACCUGGGAAGUACGACCGCAAGGUUG